RNAcentral lists this ribosomal RNA (383 nucleotides) under uncultured bacterium. RNAcentral's name for it is "bacterial SSU rRNA". It matches the Rfam family "Bacterial small subunit ribosomal RNA", at positions 32 to 426 of the family's 1533-position model. The record is from RNAcentral.
AAUCAACGCUGGCGGCGUGCCUAACACAUGCAAGUCGAACGAGAAAGUGGAGCAAUCCAUGAGUACAGUGGCGACCGGGUGAGUAACACGUGACUACCUACCCUUGAGUGGGGGAUAACCUCGGGAACCGAGGCUAAUACCGCAUAAUAUCGAGAGAUCCAAAGGAGCAAUCCGCUCUUGGAGGGGGUCGCGGCUGAUUAGCUAGUUGGUGAGGUAAUGGCNCACCAAGGCGAAGAUCGGUAUCCGGCCUGAGAGGGCGCACGGGACACACUGGAACUGAAACACGGUCCAGACUCCUACGGGAGGCAGGCAGUGGGGAAUUUGCGCAAUGGGGGAAACCCUGACGCAGCAACGCCGCGUGAGGAUGAAGCUCCUUGGAGUGU